GAUGAACGCUAGCGGGAGGCUUAACACAUGCAAGUCGAGGGGCAGCACGGGUAGCAAUACCUGGUGGCGACCGGCGCAAGGGUGCGUAACGCGUGAGCAACAUGCCCUAUACAGGGGGAUAAUCCAGGGAAACUUGGUCUAAUAUCCCAUAGUAUUUAGAGGAGGCAUCUUCUAUAAAUUAAAGCUUCGGUGGUAUAGGAUUGGCUCGCGUGACAUUAGCUAGAUGGUGAGGUAACGGCUCACCAUGGCAAUGAUGUCUAGGGGUUCUGAGAGGAAGGCCCCCCACACUGGGACUGAGACACGGCCCAGACUCCUACGGGAGGCAGCAGUGAGGAAUAUUGGACAAUGGAUGGAAAUCUGAUCCAGCCAUGCCGCGUGCAGGAAGACAGCCCUAUGGGUUGUAAACUGCUUUUAUAUGGGAGCAAUAAGGUCUACGUGUAGACUGAUGAGAGUACCAUAUGAAUAAGC
Molecule: ribosomal RNA, 468 nt
Filed under: uncultured bacterium
Lineage: Bacteria
Description: bacterial SSU rRNA
Rfam family: Bacterial small subunit ribosomal RNA
Source: RNAcentral